AGUUUCUAGAAAUACGAUACAAAUGAGACAACAAUUUAAUUAUGUUUUAUUCAACUAAACAUUUAAUUCAACAAAAGAUAUACACAAAAUUGACAUAUACAAUUUGACCUCAUAACUGACUUUCUAUUUAUUAACAAUUGUUUUACACUCUACAAGAUUUAACAAUUGAACAAAUGUACCAGACACCUUCCUCUUCAGUUUUCUGCCUUAUAUCUCAUCAUAAUUUGCUUUAUUAGGACAUUAUAUCAUUGACGAUUACAUAAGAUCUCAUUUGUUCUUUUAUUAUUGUCAAAAGUUUACUUGUCCAGGACGAAAGACAUGUCAAAUUCAAAAUCUAUAUAGUUUGCAGAAAAA
RNAcentral lists this long non-coding RNA (354 nucleotides) under Mytilus galloprovincialis (Mediterranean mussel). The record is from RNAcentral. Lineage: Eukaryota; Metazoa; Mollusca; Bivalvia; Mytilida; Mytilidae.